Molecule: unclassified non-coding RNA, 337 nt
Filed under: soil metagenome
Description: partial contains 5.8S ribosomal RNA, internal transcribed spacer 2, and large subunit ribosomal RNA
Rfam family: 5.8S ribosomal RNA (bases 1-120)
Source: RNAcentral
GAUGAAGAACGUAGCGAAAUGCGAUAAGUAGUGUGAAUUGCAGAAUUCAGUGAAUCAUCGAAUCUUUGAACGCACAUUGCGCCCCUUGGUAUUCCAUGGGGCAUGCCUGUUCGAGCGUCAUUUGUACCUUCAAGCCUUGCUUGGUGUUGGGUGUUUGUCUCGCCUCUGCGCGCAGACUCGCCUCAAAACAAUUGGCAGCCGGCGUAUUGAUUUCGGAGCGCGGUACAUCUCGCGCUUUGCACUCAGAACGACGACGUCCAAAAGUACAUUUUUACACUCUUGACCUCGGAUCAGGUAGGGAUACCCGCUGAACUUAAGCAUAUCAAUAAGCGGAGGA